GGCAGACGGGUGAGUAAUGUAUAGGAAUCUACCUAGUAGUACGGAAUAAUUGUUGGAAACGGCAACUAAUACCGUAUACGCCCUACGGGGGAAAAAUUUAUUGCUAUUAGAUGAGCCUAUAUUAGAUUAGUUAGUUGGUGAGGUAAAGGCUUACCAAGACAAUGAUCUAUAGCUGAUCUGAGAGGAUGAUCAGCCACACUGGAACUGAGAUACGGUCCAGACUCCUACGGGAGGCAGC
This 238-nucleotide ribosomal RNA is filed under the name uncultured Hyphomicrobiales bacterium. RNAcentral describes it as "uncultured Rhizobiales bacterium partial 16S ribosomal RNA". It matches the Rfam family "Bacterial small subunit ribosomal RNA", at positions 97 to 352 of the family's 1533-position model. The record is from RNAcentral. Lineage: Bacteria; Pseudomonadati; Pseudomonadota; Alphaproteobacteria; Hyphomicrobiales.